RNAcentral lists this ribosomal RNA (429 nucleotides) under Chloroflexota bacterium. Its description in RNAcentral is "Chloroflexi bacterium partial 16S ribosomal RNA". It matches the Rfam family "Bacterial small subunit ribosomal RNA", at positions 355 to 776 of the family's 1533-position model. Lineage: Bacteria; Bacillati; Chloroflexota. The record is from RNAcentral.
UGGGGAAUAUUGCACAAUGGGCGCAAGCCUGAUGCAGCCAUGCCGCGUGUAUGAAGAAGGCCUUCGGGUUGUAAAGUACUUUCAGCGGGGAGGAAGGGAGUAAAGUUAAUACCUUUGCUCAUUGACGUUACCCGCAGAAGAAGCACCGGCUAACUCCGUGCCAGCAGCCGCGGUAAUACGGAGGGUGCAAGCGUUAAUCGGAAUUACUGGGCGUAAAGCGCACGCAGGCGGUUUGUUAAGUCAGAUGUGAAAUCCCCGGGCUCAACCUGGGAACUGCAUCUGAUACAGGCAAGCUUGAGUGUCGUAGAGGGGGGUAGAAUUCCAGGUGUAGCGGUGAAAUGCGUAGAGAUCUGGAGGAAUACCGGUGGCGAAGGCGGCCCCCUGGACGAAGACUGACGCUCAGGUGCGAAAGCGUGGGGAGCAAACAGG